Molecule: long non-coding RNA, 595 nt
Organism: Ochotona princeps (American pika)
Lineage: Eukaryota; Metazoa; Chordata; Mammalia; Lagomorpha; Ochotonidae
Exons: 5
Source: RefSeq, a predicted model, not a curated record
ACAGAAAAUUCAAUGCCUUUUAUGACCUUGCAGAGGAAAUCGCAUACUUUCACACCUGCUGUAAUCUAUUGUCUAUAUCAUAAUCUGUGGAUAUAGUUUCCUAGAUGACAAAAGGAGACGGAAGUAUAAUCUUGAGAUGAGGAGCUCAUUCCAAAUUGUUCAGUUAUGUGAGCAAUGUUAUUAUGCUGUUCCAAAAUCAGGAGUGUGAAGCGCAGACAUAUGUGUAUUCAGAAGAAACAAGUGUUUUCUAUGACAGCUAAGCUACACACUGGGAUAGAAGGCCAAAUGGAUCCUGGGUUAGAAUGCUGCUGACUGCAAGUUUCUUAUGUCUCAACAUCAACAAAACAGUACAGCAAACCCUGAUUUGUACCAUUUGCUGUAUUUCCAUGGUGUAAAAAUUAACAGCAUGGCAGAUUUCUGGUCUCGAAAGUGACUUCAUAGAAUGUGGAGCUGGCAAGAGAUAGUGAUGCUCUGCAUUGCCCUACCAGGCUGCUGCUGCUGCGGUUUCCUGAACCUUGUACCUCCAGAAGGAUGAGCCAAAAUAAGCUCCUGACCUGAAGAGUUAGCCUGCCCAAGGUAAAAACUACUGUGAUCA